Molecule: long non-coding RNA, 632 nt
Filed under: Homo sapiens (human)
Lineage: Eukaryota; Metazoa; Chordata; Mammalia; Primates; Hominidae
Description: HSALNT0322784
Source: RNAcentral
GCCACAUUGGGAGUAGAGAGUGGUGGAGAGAAAGAGAGAAGGUCAGAGAGGUCAGUAAAGUCCAGACCAUGCACAGCUUCAGGUCAGGUGAAGAAUGGGAAGCUAUUGGCAGAUUUUAAGCAGGGGAAUGUCAUGAUCUAAUGUUUUCAAAAGACCACUCUAGCAGGAGUGUGGUGGAGUGAGAGUGGGUGUGGGAAGAGCAGUUAUAUGACCAUUUAAGCGAUCUUAGCAGACAUGAUGGCAGCUCUGCAAUGAAGACCAGGAGAUGAACACGGGAUACAUUUUGGAGUUGUAGCUGAUCGGGCAUACUGAUGGAUUAGAGGGGGGUAGCAGUAAGCAAGGGGUCUUUGAAGAGUUCACCCAGGAGCUUCAAAAUGAGGAACAGUGCUUGCAAUUUCCUUGAAUACUAAGAACAUCCAGCUAUUUGUAGACAGAUAAAAGAGAGCAGCCCCCAGAGGUGCUGAUCCAGCCAAGAUAGCUCAUCCAGAGAUGCCUUUAUCAGGAAACACAAAGGAGGGAGACCUACUACUAUGUAAAUGGAGGCUACUUGGAGAAUGACUAUGUCUGAGGCUGACCAGUGUCUGCAGGGUUCAGUCACUUUGGAGUAAAAACUGAGAUUAGAGAAAUAAAGC